GUGGGGAAUCUUCCGCAAUGGACGAAAGUCUGACGGAGCAACGCCGCGUGAGUGAAGAAGGUCUUCGGAUUGUAAAGCUCUGUCGUUUGGGACGAACGUGGGAUGUGUGAAUAAUGCAUCCUAAUGACGGUACCAAAGGAGGAAGCCACGGCUAACUACGUGCCAGCAGCCGCGGUAAUACGUAGGUGGCAAGCGUUGUCCGGAAUUAUUGGGCGUAAAGGGCGUGUAGGUGGGUAAUUAAGUCGUGUGUCUAAGUGCGAAGCUCAACUUCGUAUGGGCGCAGGAAACUGAUUAUCUUGAGUGCAGGAGAGGAAAGUGGAAUUCCCAGUGUAGCGGUGAAAUGCGUAGAUAUUGGGAGGAACACCAGUGGCGAAGGCGACUUUCUGGACUGUGUCUGACACUGAGGCGCGAAAGCCAGGGGAGCGAACGGGAUUAGAAACCCUGGUAGUCC
This 451-nucleotide ribosomal RNA is filed under the name uncultured bacterium. RNAcentral describes it as "bacterial SSU rRNA". It matches the Rfam family "Bacterial small subunit ribosomal RNA", at positions 354 to 796 of the family's 1533-position model. The record is from RNAcentral.